Molecule: RNA transcript, 4492 nt
Organism: Quercus robur (English oak)
Lineage: Eukaryota; Viridiplantae; Streptophyta; Magnoliopsida; Fagales; Fagaceae
Exons: 7
Source: RefSeq, a predicted model, not a curated record
CACGGUCCCAAAACCGAUAAUAACCUAGACCCAAGAACGCCUCCACUCCCCUAUAUAGCCUAGCCCAAUCGCCCUACCAUUCUUACCUACCUUUCUUCGCAUCUUAUUCUGAUUCUGAUUCUCUCCCUCUUCCAGUUCCAGCAGGUCAGCUCCAAUAUUUUGUUUUUGUUUUUCUUGCUCCAUCUACUCGGACUUCUGAUUUUUCGUUCGUGCUUUGAUUUUGAGAAUUUCCUUUUCAUAUUUGUUAUUGCUUUGCUUUACUGAAAUUAGGGUUCUCAAGUGCUUUCUCUGAUUCGAACAACGGUAUCAAUGGAGGCUUUGCUUGAUUGAGAUUUUAUAUUAGGGUUUUGGUAUUGAAGCAUCUUCUUAAGGCUGCUUUGUGUGAGUGAGUCUCGGUAGUUAGUUUGUGGAAAGUAGGGUUUAAUUAAUUAAUUAAUGGCGGAUCGAAACUCUGCCCUUGCUAAGCCUAUAUGGAUGAAGCAAGCGGAAGAGGCGAAGUUGAAGAGUGAGGCUGAGAAAGCCGCUGCUGCAAAAGCUGCCUUUGAAGCCACUUUCAAAGAUGUUGACAAAAAUCAUGAAAAGAAACCAGCUUUAUCGGCUGAUGAUAGUGAAUCCGAUGAAGAAGGUGAGGACGAUGAGGAGGAUUUGGCAAACAAACCGAUUGGCCCCGUUGACCCCUCCAAGUGCACGGCCGCUGGGGCUGGCAUAGCAGGUGGCACGGCGUGUGCAUCCUCUUCGUUUAUGGUGGUCACCAAAGAUGCUGAUGGGAGGAAGGUGGCCAAUGGGGGAGCACAGAUUAAGGUGAAGGUGUCACCAGGGGUUGGUGUUGGAGGAUCGGAGCAAGAAGGGAUUGUCAAGGAUAUGGGCGACGGCACCUACACAGUUACUUAUGUUGUCCCCAAAAGAGGGAAUUAUAUGGUUACUAUUGAGUGCAAUGGGAAACCCAUCAUGGGUAGCCCCUUCCCGGUCUUUUUCAGUGCAGGUACCAGUAGUGGAGGACUGCUGGGUUUGGCUCCUGCAUCCACAUUUCCAAAUCUAGUUAACCAAACCAUGCCCAAUAUGCCAAACUAUUCAGGGUCUGUUUCAGGGGCGUUCCCAGGAUUAUUGGGAAUGAUUCCAGGCAUUGUUCCUGGUGCCUCAGGGGGCGCUAUUUUGCCUGGAAUCGGUGCAUCUCUUGGGGAAGUUUGUCGAGAAUACCUUAAUGGUCGUUGUGCCAAAACUGAUUGUAAGUUGAACCACCCGCCUCACAAUUUGCUAAUGACUGCAUUAGCUGCAACAACCUCGAUGGGGACGGUCAGUCAAGUUCCUAUGGCACCCUCUGCAGCUGCAAUGGCUGCUGCUCAGGCAAUUGUUGCUGCCCAAGCCCUACAAGCCCAUGCAGCUCAGGUGCAAGCACAAGCUCAGUCAGCAAAAGAAUCAUCUGGUUCACCUGAUAAAGCUGGGAAGUCUGAUGCACUGAAGAAAACACUUCAAGUUAGCAACCUUAGUCCACUUCUUACAGUGGAACAGCUCAAACAACUUUUCAGCUUUUAUGGCUCAGUUGUUGAAUGUACCAUCACUGAUUCAAAACAUUUUGCUUACAUAGAGUAUUUAAAACCUGAAGAAGCAACUGCGGCUUUGGCAUUGAAUAAUAUGGAUGUUGGAGGUCGCCCUUUGAAUGUUGAAAUGGCAAAAUCUCUUCCACAAAAACCAGCUCUUUUGAAUUCUCCACUGGCUUCCUCUUCUCUUCCACUGAUGAUGCAGCAAGCUGUUGCCAUGCAGCAGAUGCAAUUCCAGCAGGCUUUGCUUAUGCAACAAACUAUGACUGCACAACAGGCAGCAAAUCGAGCUGCAACAAUGAAGUCGGCAACAGAGUUAGCUGCAGCGAGAGCUGCUGAAAUAAGUAAGAAAUUAAAAGUUGACGGAGUUGGAAAUGAAGAGAAUGAAGUGAAACAAAAAUCAAGAUCACCAUCCACUACUCGUGCGAGGUCAAGGUCAAAGUCUAGAUCACCAGUCAUUUAUCGUCGAAAGCGGAGGUCUCGUUCUUACUCACCUCCAUCCCGCCACCCUAGGGAUCGUAGAUCUAGAUCACCAUUGAGAUCUCACCAUCAGUCUGGCUAUGACAAUGAAUGGUGGUCAUAUCGAGACAUUCGGGAUGGCAGUGACAGAACUAGAAGGCGAGAUUCAGAAAGAUCACAUGAUCAUCAUUUAUCUGCUUCGAGAAGACAUAAGAGCAGGAGUGCAAGCCCUCUAACAAGAAAAUCAUACCGAGCUGAUUCAGUCUCACCAAAACGUCACCGAGAAAGUUCACCAUAUAGAGCAAGGAAAUCAUCUCGUGUUCGUUCAAGAUCACCAACUCAUCAGAGAGUACGUAGGUCAUCUCCAAAAAUUGCUGAUGAAAACAAGUCAAAACACAGAAGACGCUCUAGGUCAAAAUCUGUUGAUGGUAAGCAUCUGUCUGGUGAGAAAACAGAGGAGUCUCGAGAUGAAAAAUCUAAGUUUCAUGAUCGAAGGCGUUCCAGGUCCUUAUCUAGAGAAGAUAAACUUCAUAGGAGCAGCAGGUCAACCCCAAGAGGUAUGGAUGAAAAUAAAUCCAAACAUAGAAGGCGGUCCAGGUCAAAGUCUUUAGAAGGAAAGCACCAUGCCAAUGAGAAAUUAGACAAAUCUAGAGAAGAUAAACCAAAACAUCGUGACAGAAGGCGGUCCAGGUCAAAGUCUUUGGAAGGGAAGCAUCACUCUGAUAGGAAAGUAGAUGAAACAAGAGAUGAGAAGUCUAAACAUCGUGAUAGAAGGCAGUCCAGAUCAAGGUCCGUGGAAGGUAAGCGAUACUCCAAGGAAAAAGUGGAUGAAAGCAGGGACAGAAAAUCAAAGCAUCGUGACAGAAGACGGUCAAGGUCAGUGUCUGUGGAAGCUAAGCACCAUAGAGGAAGCAGGUCAUCCCCUGGUAAAUCUAAACACAGGAGGCGCUCUAGGUCAAAUUCUGCUGAAGGGAAGCAUCACUCCUAUAAUAGAAUAGGGGGAAGUAGAGCUGAAAAAUCGAAACUUCAUGAGAAAUCACUGUCCAGUUCAAUAUCUGCAGAACAUAAGCAUUGUAGAGGCAGUAGUUUGUCACCGACAAGUAUGGAGGAAAAUGAAUCAAAUCAUGUAAGCCUAUCUAGGUCAGAAUUUGCUGAAGGGAAACUUAAUUCCAAUGAUGGGAGGGAUGAAAACAGUUAUGAAAUAUCAAAGCAUCAAGAAGAUGUGAAAGAGGAAGCAGAUUCCACUUUGAAGGAUUUGAUGAGCAUGAAUGAUAAUGGGAUGUUUAUUUCAGAACCUGAGGAUUGUAACUCAAAGGAAUUGGUGGUGGAAAAUAUGGCAAUUGAAUAUGACCAGGAUCCAAAAAAGGCAUAUUUGACAAAUGUUAACAGCGAAGGAGGAGGUUCAUUUUUACCAAGUUGUAGAAUCUCCUUGGUUGAAGAGGAGCUAAGGGAACAUGAAGCAUCUUUAACUGAGCAUAUAGAGCUAGGAAUGGAAGAUCGAGAUAAUUGUGAGAAGUCAGCCAAAGUGGAUAAUAGUGACAGAACUGGCUCAAACCAGCGCGUGGAUUGCAUUAAUGAUGAAUCAGAGUUUGUGAUUAGAGAUAGGUCUUCAAUUUCCCCAAUGCUGAAGGCUCAACCGAGAAGCUCUAUCUCACCCGAGGCGGAUAUGUUUCCUGGUGACUUCAGUAUAGAAGAUAUAAACCAAUGCUAGAAGUAUAUCGUGGACCAUGGGGUUGCUGUUUUCCAAGAUUUUUCAUGCUGAGUGAUGGGUGCAAUUUCUCCGAAAAGGGCUCAGUCUGGUUUCCAUGAAAGAUUGCUUAAUGUUACUUUUGGUGCUCGGAAUUUUCUGGCGGUUGUUUGCUCUUCACAAAUAUGCUUUGUGUUUGUUUAUUUCUUUGCAGGUCCUUAUGGAAUUGACCGGGACUAUAGUCUUGAAGCUGGUCUUCCUGUGUUUUAAGUAUUUGAAGAAGUUUCAUGCUUUCAACCACAAUCGGCCAUGCAUGUUUGUAGCGAGCUUCUUUUACUGCUUGAUGAUAGUAUCCCCAGCACAUGCAGGUAUCAUGGUGAUUUUCAUUGGAGCUUUCUGACAUUCAAUUUGGCAGGAUUGAUUUUCUCUGAUAUAAAUUGAGAAAUUGUUUUGGUUAGGUAAGGGUACCCUUAAGGUCAAGUGAAAGUGUGAAACCAGAUGUUGCUGGGAUGAAUUGCAUCAAAAUUCCAGUGUUGUGUAUGAGCAGAUUGCCUGACUCACUUUACAGUCCUUGCUAAAACUUAUGGUGAAAUCCAAAUAUUGAUUUAUAUCAGGUAAUAUUCCAAGCAACUGUUGGGUUGAGUUCAUUUUCUUUAUAGAAGCUUUCAUUUAAGUUUGCACAUUUGGUUACUCCUUAGGGUAUUUUUAACUGUGCCCUGCAGUGACUCAAUCUGGGUAGAUCACUGGAAUUUUGUACUCGAUCUUGAUCUUAUAUUAUGGAACUAAUCUGAAAUAGUAUUUGGCUCUA